UACACACCGCCCGUCACACCAUGGGAGUGGGUUGCAAAAGAAGUAGGUAGCUUAACCUUCGGGAGGGCGCUUACCACUUUGUGAUUCAUGACUGGGGUGAAGUCGUAACAAGGUAACCGUAGGGGAACCUGCGGUUGGAUCACCUCCUUACCUUAAAGAAGC
RNAcentral lists this ribosomal RNA (162 nucleotides) under Escherichia coli. RNAcentral's name for it is "partial 16S ribosomal RNA". It matches the Rfam family "Bacterial small subunit ribosomal RNA", at positions 1384 to 1533 of the family's 1533-position model. RNAcentral also lists the same sequence under 1 other name. The record is from RNAcentral. Lineage: Bacteria; Pseudomonadati; Pseudomonadota; Gammaproteobacteria; Enterobacterales; Enterobacteriaceae.